Long non-coding RNA from Alnus glutinosa, 1995 nucleotides. RefSeq lists it as uncharacterized. The record is from RefSeq and is a predicted model, not a curated record. Lineage: Eukaryota; Viridiplantae; Streptophyta; Magnoliopsida; Fagales; Betulaceae. The transcript has 3 exons.
AUGCCUCCCUUGGGGAACAGAAAAGAAGAUGAAAAAAAAAAAAAAAGAGAAGAAGAAGAAGUAAGCCAUUAGUCCCUCAAAAAGAAAAAUUGCGAUCUACGAAGAUCCAACAGUCGGAUCUUCAAUCCGUUUUCGGAAACGUGAUCCUUGCACUCGGAUCUACGUUCUUACCGAUUGUUUUAAGGUAUUUGGGCUUAUUGGAACUUACUUGAGGCUACCCAAACUUUGGGUUGAAGUUUGGUGAAUUUGGAUAAGCUUUUCUUCGAGCCUUAAUUUUUGGGUAUUUGAUUUUUGUGGGAUUUUAUGAGAUUAACCCUUAGUAAAUGCCAUUAAGUUAAUGAUAUUGUUAUUGGAGUUAAGUUUGAGGAAACCCUUAUUUGAUGGAUUAAAUUAAUUUGAGGUUUUUAAUUAUUCAAAAUUAGAUUGUUAAGUUGUGGCCUAAUGGUGGUGAUAGUGAUGAUUAACCCCAAAUUAACCAUGGGUGUUGUAAAAAUAAAUAUUUGUAGGGUUAUGUUUUAAUGUUGGUAAUUUGAAUAAAUUGAGUGUUUUAUUUAUAAACCUAGGAAUAUUGUUAAGUAUGAGUUUAAGCAAUUGAUGGGUAAAAUAGUCAUUGAGCAAUUCAAAGUGAAAAUUAGUGUAAUUAUUGGAUGAAAACUAAAUGAAUGCAAUAUGUUAUGUACAAUGGCACUUUGUGGAUUGAGCCUAGGACUUGUUAGUGUUGGUGUGCAAGCAGUCAGGUGAUAUUUUACUCACUGAAAAACUAUUAUUUUUAUGUAUAUUAGAAUUGCAAAAUAUAUGUGUUUUAUAAAUCCAAACCAACUGUAUGUUGAACAUAUCUGUUUUGGUUGAUUUGAGUAGUUUCAAUUAUGUUCAAAUAAUAUCAAUAAUGUUGUGAAAUGAUUUAUGAAUGAAAUGUGUUAAAAUGAUUUAAAAUGUUUGAAUGUGAACUGCGGUUGAGAUUUAAAUUAUGCAAAGUAGAAUGAUAAAAUUACAUGUUGAUUGGUUUAUCGUAUUUGAAGAAAGCAUGAUUUGUAAAUAAUAGAAGUAUAAAGUUUGAAUUGUAAAGCAUAAAGCAUGAGCAUAAAAAUGAAAGGAAGGGUAAGCCUCACAAGGAAUGAAAGGAUAAUCACGAGCAUGCAUAUCAUUGUUUAAAUUGUGUAAUGUUUUCAUGAUAUAAAAUAUUGUAGUUUUUAUGCUAGACGCAUUUGUAUGCCUAAGAGUUUUACUGGCAAAGAACUUAUGUAUACUUCUAUCGUCUAGUUGCAUGAUUUAAGAACAUUGAGCUUGGAGGUGCAAGGGUAUUAUUAUGGUUCGAUAUGAGUAAUACAGUAUCCUGGGAGUAGGUAGAUGGAUUGUCGUGGUACAUCAGUAAGAAAUGUCUGGAUAUCAGAGUUUUACUCUAGUAACCGCAUGGACAACUAUGUGCCUUGACAUGAAGUUGUAAUGCCCUAAGAUUUGGUGUUAACCAUAUUCGGGAAAUGGUAGUAAGCUCGUACUAAAGAGCGAGAUGACAUGUUUUAAGUUUGGUGUACUUUGAUGUGACGCUAUUGGUUGGGAUAUCAGUGUGACUUGGCAGUAGGUAGAUGGAUUGUGUGGUACAUCAGUAAGAAGUGCUUGGAUAUCAGAGUUUUAUUCUAGUAACCGCAUGGACAAUUAUGUGCCAUAGACAUGAAGUUGUAAUGUCCUGAGGUACACCUGACUUAGAGGAGGACCCCGUAGCUGCGUAUUUGGGAUACUACGAUUGAAGCACUUCGCGACAAUCGUAUUGAGUUGGACUAUGGAGUUCACUCUUUUGGGGUAUUUUGUAUAUGGCUAGUGACGUAGGUGUCACAUAUUCUUUUGUGUAGCCAUUCUUUUGUAUUAGUGGGUAAUUAUAAGUCUUAAACAGUUAGACAGAUAUAUGGCUCUUUUGUAUGGACCACAUGUAUUUUUAGAUGUACUUUCUGUUAUAAGUUGUAGUGUUAUGAUUAUUUUGCCAUUAGAUAUUACUCUGAA